This 445-nucleotide ribosomal RNA is filed under the name uncultured bacterium. RNAcentral's name for it is "bacterial SSU rRNA". It matches the Rfam family "Bacterial small subunit ribosomal RNA", at positions 354 to 796 of the family's 1533-position model. The record is from RNAcentral.
GUGAGGAAUAUUGGUCAAUGGGCGAGAGCCUGAACCAGCCAAGUAGCGUGCAGGAUGACGGCCCUAUGGGUUGUAAACUGCUUUUGUAUGGGGAUAAAGUCAAUCACGUGUGAUUGUUUGCAGGUACCAUACGAAUAAGGACCGGCUAAUUCCGUGCCAGCAGCCGCGGUAAUACGGAAGGUCCGGGCGUUAUCCGGAUUUAUUGGGUUUAAAGGGAGCGUAGGCUGGAGAUUAAGUGUGUUGUGAAAUGUAGACGCUCAACGUCUGACUUGCAGCGCAUACUGGUUUCCUUGAGUACGCACAACGUUGGCGGAAUUCGUCGUGUAGCGGUGAAAUGCUUAGAUAUGACGAAGAACUCCGAUUGCGAAGGCAGCUGACGGGAGCGCAACUGACGCUGAAGCUCGAAGGUGCGGGUAUCGAACAGGAUUAGAAACCCUUGUAGUCC